AAGAGAAGAAGUUCAGACACUCAGGUGAGAGAGAAGAAGUCAGGACACCAGGUGAAGGGGAGCAAGAAGUACAGACACUUCAGGUGAGAGGAGAGAAGUACAGACAUCAGGUGAGAGGAGAACAAGUACAGACACUCAGGUGAGAGGAGAAGAAGUUACAGACACACAGGUGAGAGGAGAAGAAGUUACAGACACACAGGUUGAGAGGAGGAAGAAGUUACAGACACUCAGGUGAGAGGAGAAGAAGUACAGACACAGCAGGUGAGAGAGAAGAAGACAGAACACACAGGUGAAGGAAGGAGAAUACAGGAACACAGGUGAGAGGA
This 326-nucleotide long non-coding RNA is filed under the name Neogobius melanostomus (round goby). Its description in RNAcentral is "lncRNA (ENSNMLG00000007861.1)". The record is from RNAcentral. Lineage: Eukaryota; Metazoa; Chordata; Actinopteri; Gobiiformes; Gobiidae.